RNAcentral lists this long non-coding RNA (559 nucleotides) under Salmo salar (Atlantic salmon). Its description in RNAcentral is "lncRNA (ENSSSAG00000103940.1)". The record is from RNAcentral. Lineage: Eukaryota; Metazoa; Chordata; Actinopteri; Salmoniformes; Salmonidae.
CUUAUUGACAAGAGAGUUUUCACAGUGUAUGCUUAUGAAUUUGGCUCUGGUACGAGACUCUAUGUGACAGACAAUCACGUACGUAAACCCAAAGUGACGGUCUACCCAGCGUCCAACCCUGAGUCGAAUGGGAAGACCACCCUGAUAUGUCUGGCUAGAGACAUGUUUCCAGACUUGGUCAAGAUCUCAUGGAAGAUGGAGGAUGAAUACGGCCAAACAGUGGAGGUGUCCAAAGCAGAGACGGAACAGCUAGAGCAGAGGGAGGAAGGACAGACGACCAGUAUGAUCAUCAUUGAUAAAGAGAAUGCGUACAAGAACAAAUACAGAUGUUAUGUGGAGCAUGAAGGGGACCCUCAAGAUGUUGACAUGCUAAAAGAAGAUGAGUAUACACAUACCUGCUGCGUUUUGGUCCGCCAUUUCUAACGACAAGCGUGACAGAAUCUCCCAACUUACCAGGACCAAGCAGCAGAGGAACGAGGAGGAAGGAUGGACAUGGGCCGAGUUAAGGAGGAGUGUUUUCAGGGCAAUGGAAGAGUUUAGGAAAUUUGAGAGGCAGCCC